AGGGUGUAAACGCUGCAGACUUGGUGUUGGAGGCCCUUUGGGGGCAUUCAGUGCCGGAGAGAAGUUGUUAAGUCCGCUACUUGGGAGUACGUCCGCAAGGAUGAAACUUAAAGGAAUUGGCGGGGGAGCACCGCAACGGGAGGAGCGUGCGGUUUAAUUGGAUUCAACACCGUAAACUCACCAGGGAAGACUGUUACAUGAAGGCCGAGAUGAAGACUCUGCUAGAUUUUUCAGAGAGGAGGUGCAUGGCGUCAGUGACU
This 260-nucleotide ribosomal RNA is filed under the name uncultured archaeon. RNAcentral's name for it is "partial 16S ribosomal RNA". It matches the Rfam family "Archaeal small subunit ribosomal RNA", at positions 748 to 1008 of the family's 1478-position model. The record is from RNAcentral.